RNAcentral lists this ribosomal RNA (497 nucleotides) under uncultured bacterium. Its description in RNAcentral is "partial 16S ribosomal RNA". It matches the Rfam family "Bacterial small subunit ribosomal RNA", at positions 28 to 507 of the family's 1533-position model. The record is from RNAcentral.
GAUGAACGCUGGCGGCGUGCCUAAUACAUGCAAGUCGAGCGAACAGACGAGGAGCUUGCUCCUCUGACGUUAGCGGCGGACGGGUGAGUAACACGUGGAUAACCUACCUAUAAGACUGGGAUAACUUCGGGAAACCGGAGCUAAUACCGGAUAAUAUAUUGAACCGCAUGGUUCAAUAGUGAAAGACGGUUUUGCUGUCACCUAUAGAUGGAUCCGCGCCGCAUUAGCUAGUUGGUAAGGUAACGGCUUACCAAGGCAACGAUGCGUAGCCGACCUGACAGGGUGAUCGCCCACACUGGCACUGAGACACGGUCCAGAGUCCUACGGGAGGCAGCAGUAGGGAAUCUUGCGCAAUGGGCGAAAGCCUGACGGAGCAACGCCGCGUGAAUGAUGAAGGUCUUCGGAUCUUAAGACUCUGUUAUUAGGGAAGAACAAAUGUGUAAGUAACUAUGCACGUCUUGACGGUACCUAAUCAGAAAGCCACGGCUAACUACGUG